UGGGGAAUUUUGGACAAUGGGGGCAACCCUGAUCCAGCCAUGCCGCGUGCGGGAAGAAGGCCUUCGGGUUGUAAACCGCUUUUGUCAGGGAAGAAAAGACUCCUACUAAUACUGGGGGUUCAUGACGGUACCUGAAGAAUAAGCACCGGCUAACUACGUG
RNAcentral lists this ribosomal RNA (160 nucleotides) under uncultured bacterium. RNAcentral describes it as "partial 16S ribosomal RNA". It matches the Rfam family "Bacterial small subunit ribosomal RNA", at positions 355 to 507 of the family's 1533-position model. The record is from RNAcentral.